Molecule: RNA transcript, 1751 nt
Organism: Raphanus sativus (radish)
Lineage: Eukaryota; Viridiplantae; Streptophyta; Magnoliopsida; Brassicales; Brassicaceae
Exons: 9
Source: RefSeq, a predicted model, not a curated record
UCGUCUUAACAUUCUGUGUGUUUCUAACUUCUCCGAUUCUCAUCUGUAACGUCUACCUCCCACUCAUAAAAUCCUUUAUUUACUGCCAUAAUCGAGAUCAAGAAACCGUUGAAUCCCUCCGCUGAAAAUUCAUCUGUUCAAUCCCCUCAAUAAUAAGCUUCUCAAAAAAUCCAGUGCUAACAAUGGUUAUCUUCGCUGUUAGUGAUGUUUUGCAGGCGGCGAGAAGAAGAUAGAACGGACGAGAGAUGAGAUUCGUUGUUGAAGCUCAAUUACAAUACUUUAUAGAAGCAUGGUCUGGCAAUCUUCUAUGACGGUUGACUUUAUCUCCGGAGAUAACUCGAUGGGUUCGAUCACAUGCUCUGUUCUGUGUAAAGUUAAAUACAUCUGAGGAGAGAGAAGUGAAAAGUUAGGUUAAAGCUUCGCGUAGCGCGGGCGGCAAAGUAUCUGUCACGAGGUUUCCUCGCCUCUGUCGACUCCUACAUGAACUUGCAGCUUGGAAACACUGAAGAACACAUCGAUGGACAGUUGACAGGGAACCUGCGAGAGAUUUUAAUCAGUUUUUUAAGUUUUGCAUGUUUACAUUAAUCUUCAUUGGUGGUGGUGUAUAACAGAUCCAAGGGUCAUGUACUCUGAACCUGCCAAGUUCGUGGCUAAACUGAGAGAAAUGAAGACUGACAACAACUUGCUUUUUGUUCAAGUGUGAGCUUGGCGCUGGACAUUUCUCCAAAUCUAGGAGAUUCGAGAAGCGUCAGGAAGAUGUGUUUACGUUUGCGUUCAUGAUGAAAGUUUUGGACAUGAUUCCUGCUUGUGUCCGACUCCCCACAUUCAGACACCGAGUCAAUGCUGGUUCAAUGUUCAUAUUCAGCGGAUUUGAUGUGGUUGGUUGCAAUCAGAACUUCAGGCUGUCUGACUCUCUUCUGGUUAUUCGGUUUAGUGCCUCAACCAACUUUGAUGCGUUAACGGAACCGGCUUCUCCAAUUCUGGUAGAGCGUUUCAGGUUCCGUGAUCUGGAUUCUCUACUUGACCUAGCCAACACCAGCACACAACUUCCAGAGAUGGUCGUGACUUUGAGUUUGUUUGAGUCACAAGCUGUGUCGUUUCACAACAAACUGGAAUCUGGUCUUUUAGACAUACGACGUUGAGAAACGUUGAUGCAUAUCGUGAGACUGUAAAAUUGCUGAAUGUUACUCUUGCACCAAACCGAGUAGAAGCUCUUUGGAGGAGGAUGAUGAUGAUGAGGUGGGUGAUUGGGGGUUUGUGGUGAGGAAGCAUCGAAGAGUGGAGGAUGUCGACCUGACUGGAGGUGAAGGAUCUUCGUUUAGGGAGCCGGCGAGAGCUAUUUUGAAGUUGAGAGAUAGGUGUAGGAGAGGAUCGAAGGUGCGAAGCAGAGGAUGAUGAUUGAGUUGGAGAAGCAGAGGAUGGAAGCUGCGAAGGAGCUUGAGUUGCAACGGAUGAACAUGUUGAUGGAUAUGCAGAUGGAGGUUGAAAGAUCCAAGUUUGGCAAACGCAGUGUUGCUGCUUCAGGUAAGAAGUUGUUGUAUAACUUCUGGAGAAUCAUCUGAACCAUUGUUGUUGUUGUAUAGGUAAGAAUGUGGCAUUGUGGCUUCAACCAAUUUUCCAGUUGAACUUUUCUACGUUCUAAUUUUUUUGUGUACGUCGUUUCAGUUUUAUAGAUUACUAACUAUGCAUAAACUGAGCAUUGAAGCUUCAGCUUACUUCCUAAGAAAAAAAAUGCAUUAUUUAUGCCAAAA